Long non-coding RNA from Amphiprion ocellaris (clown anemonefish), 1257 nucleotides. The record is from Ensembl. Lineage: Eukaryota; Metazoa; Chordata; Actinopteri; Pomacentridae.
UGCAAUUUCAUAAUCAUACCUCUUUAUUCAAGGACUUAUAUUCAUACAAAAUCUAUAGGUUCAGUCGAAAUGACUGCAGGAGACAGUCAAGUAACAGAUCAGGCAGCGAAGGAUUCAGCCACUCCAGAACCUCUUUUCUGACAAAGAGCCUCGGUUCCACUUUGGUGGUUCUGUGAGAAGAAAAUGUUUUUCAAGCUUGUUUUUAUUUUCAUUUUUUCUUUUACCUGAAACCAAUACAUUUGUGUGUGUUGAGAUUAAUCAGAAAAUACAAAUUGUACAAAUCAUGGACUCAAUGAAGCCAAACAAUACCACUAUUAUUAUUAGUUUUUUUUUCUCUUUGUGUUUUUUCGCACAUGCACAGUUUCUUUUUCAGAACAUGCAAACAGGACAUGUCCAGAGGAGGGCAGCCAUAGAAAAGAGGAAAAACUUGGCACCCGGUUCAUGUGGGGCUCAGUGGAGGAAAUGUAGGAUCUUUAUCUUUUUAUAAAAUCUACCAUAGAUGAACAUAAACUUCUGUUCCAAUAUGGCAACUUACAAUGAGACAACAGGCAACCUGUUGGUACAAACAACAACCACACAAACAUUUAGACCCUUCAAGUCUAAACUGUCUCCACUUAGAUCCAUCAAUAGAUUGCACACUUAGAGAUGAAUAAAAUGAAAUCUACUAGUAUAGUGGGACAAAAUCAGAUUUGGAUAGAAGUAUUUGCAAAUAAUUUACGUGUUCAUAAACUUGCCAGGAUGAUAAAAUGAGCACCAAGGUCUGUAUUUCUACUGGUAAAAAUUAAACAAAAAUGCUAAAUAUCUGAGAAUAUUAACUUGUUCCAAUUAAAUCUGAAGGAUUUUGAGAUGUUUUGUGAACCAACUCUGACAAUCAGGACCAUAAUCAUUACUUGUAACAGUCUGAUGUACAGUUAUUUAUUAAGAAAUGUCUUUUUAACACAUUUAUCUAUGUAGCUCAAAGGAUAAGGUCAGCAAUUUCUCAUUUUUUUGUAUUUUUUAAACACAAAAAUAAGAACUGAAUCCACAAUUAACUGAUUUUUAAUGCCAUGAAUUACACGUUUAGCCAGAUCAGUUCUGCAUAAUCCACUAUUUCGUCCUGUUUGAGUUGCGUUUGGGAAAACAACAGUUCUUCAGCCAUUUUAGGAAAUGAUACCAGUAUCAUCUUUGUUGUCGCCCCAUAAAAUGCUUUAAAAUAUCCGCAUUGGCCUUAAAGUUCACAGUUCGAUUUGAAAACGUUGCAUAAAUCAAAGUCAGUUG